GUUUUUCGUAGCUCAAGAAACAGAAGAGAGACUUCAAAUAAAUUUUAGAAAUGCAGAUAAUACAGCAGAAAGAUGCAGAAAGGGUUCUCAAAAAAAUUGGAUUGUCAAGAUGCAGCCUUACUCUGGGCCCUACAUGGGUAUUUUGUGCCUUUCCAAAAAGUUGUGAGAAAACACAAAUAGGGAAAGAAACGUUCACGAGGUUUACUAUCUUGAUAAAUUGCAAUUAAAUUACUUAUUGAUAAAUGAACUAAACUACAAAAAAUAAAAAUUAUAAAAUUAAA
Molecule: long non-coding RNA, 281 nt
Organism: Eupeodes corollae
Lineage: Eukaryota; Metazoa; Arthropoda; Insecta; Diptera; Syrphidae
Exons: 2
Source: RefSeq, a predicted model, not a curated record